This 499-nucleotide ribosomal RNA is filed under the name uncultured bacterium. RNAcentral describes it as "bacterial SSU rRNA". It matches the Rfam family "Bacterial small subunit ribosomal RNA", at positions 791 to 1287 of the family's 1533-position model. The record is from RNAcentral.
UAGUCCUAGCUGUAAACGAUGAGCACUGGGUUGGGGGGACUCUCACAUCCUCCCGGCCGUAGCGAAAGCGUUAAGUGCUCCGCCUGGGGAGUAUGGUCGCAAGAUUAAAACUCAAAGGAAUUGGCGGGGGCCUGCACAAGCGGUGGAGCAUGUGGUUUAAUUCGACGCAACGCGCAGAACCUUACCAGCUUUUGACAUCCUGGUCGCGGAUUUGGGAGACCAUUUCCUUCAGUUCGGACUGGACCAGUGACAGGUGCUGCAUGGCUGUCGUCAGCUCGUGUCGUGAGAUGUUGGGUUAAGUCCCGCAACGAGCGCAACCCUCAUCCUUAGUUGCCAGCAUUUAGUGGGCACUCUAAGGAAACUGACCGGUGAUAAGCCGGAGGAAGGUGGGGAUGACGUCAAGUCCUCAUGGCCCUUACAAGCUGGGCUACACACGUGCUACAAUGGCGAUGACAGUGAGCAGCUAACCGCGAGGGCAAGCUAAUCUCUAAAAGUCGUA